This 451-nucleotide RNase P RNA is filed under the name Natrinema salaciae. RNAcentral's name for it is "Archaeal RNase P". It matches the Rfam family "Archaeal RNase P". Rfam says of the family: Ribonuclease P (RNase P) is a ubiquitous endoribonuclease, found in archaea, bacteria and eukarya as well as chloroplasts and mitochondria. Its best characterised activity is the generation of mature 5'-ends of tRNAs by cleaving the 5'-leader elements of precursor-tRNAs. The record is from RNAcentral. Lineage: Archaea; Methanobacteriati; Methanobacteriota; Halobacteria; Halobacteriales; Natrialbaceae.
GAGUCGCGCAACGGCCGCGAGGAAAGUCCCCCCACCUGUUCGGGCAGGUGACCGGACGCAAGUCCGGAGCGGGAGACCGCUGGCUCUGGAACAGAAACGACACGUCUCGGCCCGACCGAUGACGCGCGCGAACCCGACCGAGAGGAAGGGGAGUGAACCCGCAGAGGGACCGGGCGAUUCGGAGUGCGAUCGGCUCGAAGUGCCGUCAGCACGAGAAUCGCCUCCGAACUCGCGGCGUCGCCGCGAGUCGUGUGGUCGCAUCUCGCGCGCGGUUUGAAUCCGCGGAUCGUGCUCGUCACGGUCGACCACACCCAGACGGCCGAGGAUCGAUGGAACGGCGAAUCCUCACCGGUGCAAGUCCGCGCCGUGGUAGCCCGAACACCCUGCGGCUUCGCCGCGGACGGCGCGGACGCUCAGCCGAAUGCCGGGCCGAACAGAAGGGGGCUUACUC